UGAGGAAUAUUGGUCAAUGGGCGAGAGCCUGAACCAGCCAAAUCGCGUGAAGGAAGACUGCCUUAUGGGUUGUAAACUUCUUUUAUACAGGAAUAAAAAAGGGGACGUGUCCCUUAUUGCAUGUACUGUAUGAAUAAGCAUCGGCUAACUCCGUGCCAGCAGCCGCGGUAAUACGGAGGAUGCGAGCGUUAUCCGGAUUUAUUGGGUUUAAAGGGUGCGCAGGCGGGCUUUUAAGUCAGCGGUGAAAUCUCGGGGCUUAACUCCGAAACUGCCGUUGAAACUGGGAGUCUUGAGUAUGGAUGAAGUAGGCGGAAUUCGUUGUGUAGCGGUGACAUGCUUAGAUAUAACGAGGAACUCCGAUUGCGUAGGCAGCUUACUAAGCCAUAACUGACGCUCAAGCACGAAAAGCGUGGGGAUCAAAACAGGAUUAGAUACCCUGGUAGUCCACGCCGUAAAACGAAUGAUUACUAGUUGUAUGCGAUAAUACCGUAUGUGACUAAAGCGAAAAGCGAUAAAGUAAAUCCACCUGGGGAGUACGCCGGCAAACGGUGAAAACUUAAAAUGAAUUGACGGGGUCAUAGCUG
This 584-nucleotide ribosomal RNA is filed under the name uncultured bacterium. RNAcentral's name for it is "partial 16S ribosomal RNA". It matches the Rfam family "Bacterial small subunit ribosomal RNA", at positions 355 to 932 of the family's 1533-position model. The record is from RNAcentral.